Molecule: unclassified non-coding RNA, 324 nt
Filed under: Dodonaea camfieldii
Lineage: Eukaryota; Viridiplantae; Streptophyta; Magnoliopsida; Sapindales; Sapindaceae
Description: partial external transcribed spacer
Source: RNAcentral
AUAUCCUGUAUUGCUUACCAGUUCUAUGGUAUUCGGUGUUUUUGAUGCCUACAUUCGCCUGAUGCCUGUUAUGGUGUUGGGUGGACAAUAGGUUGGCCCCAUGCUCCUAGCAUGCCCUGCAACAUUGUUUGGCUGCCUAGGUGCAUGGGGUCAUGCCCGUUCUUUCGGAUGCUGACCGUUACGUGUGUUGACGAGGGGUCUUGGCCCAUACUCGUCUGCUUUACGCACUUGUCCCUUWACACGAACGACCGCCUCACCUGUUUUGGCUCAAGGGGCUACAGCUCUUUGAGGCUCCAUGCAGGUGUUGGUGUCGUGAAGGAAUGC